GCUAACCUCCCCCCUUUGCUAAAAAAAAGCUAACCUCCUCCCCUUCCUCCACUAAAAAAGGAGCUAACCUCCUCUCCGUACCCACCCACUCCUCACCUUCCUCUCCGCCUCCAUAAUCAUCUCCUCUCCAUCCUCAGCACACCACCGUCUUGGUUGGUUUUCCAAUUAAACGUGGAUCAAGUUUCCCAUCCUGUUUAUCCUGGAGCAAGGAAAUUUUGGAUUUGAUUUCCAUGGUACCUGGUGGUGCCACCGGUGGCCAUGAUCUGGGGCGACGGCGAGGACAUCUUGAACAGUGGCCUAUCAAAGUUUGAGAUCCGGGCCAGAUUCGUGUCUGGUACGCCGUCCGCAACGUCGCCGUGAAGAUGGUGUGCCAGUUCAAGCGCAGCCUUCGAGGUCUCUCUCCUCCUCCGCCACCAAAACAUCAUCACCAUACCUACUGUAAUACUCCUCUUUUCUCAGUCCAACAUUUUCUCAGCCACCAUCUUCAUCGAUCAGAUCCACCAGAGUGGCCUGGCGAAUGCGUCCACGUUUCUCUGUUGGAUCCUCUAGUUCUUAGUCUAUUUAUUAUUUCAGUAUCUGCACUAGGAUUUUCCUCUAUGGUGUUGUGGAGCACGGAAGGCCCAAACAUCCGCUUCUCCAUUCUAGGAGUUUCAGUUUUAGGGCAUGCCUCUUUAAUUUGUUUCUAUCAGUUCGCCAUGUGCAGGUUGUUGCUUCUAAGCUGACUGGUUUACAUAUAUGCGACCAUGGAUAUCUUUGUUAAUUCAUGAAGAAUAUCUGCAUCCUCUUUUUCUAACAAAUUGUUUCUUGUGAUGCAUUAGAUUUUUUUAUUUCUUGCUACUAUGCAGGUGAGUAAUCAAUCAGUAUUUUCAAGUGAAGUUGAUCAUCACAGAACCGUUCAAUUAGGUACCAAUAUUAUCUAAGAUUUAUCCUAGCUAGGACCAUGUCAUCAAAGAGCAUUCCAUCACAUAUCAAUAGGUCAACACUAUUAACAUCACCUUAUUAGUGUUAUGGAUGCUCACUAAUUUCGCUGACACACUUUGUACUAAAGGAAUGAGCCCCACAUACACAUGUUAUCUUGUCCUCUAGGUUCUGUAUGUUUCCUGUGUCGUCCCAGUUCUCACCUAUUUGGUGUCCGCAUCAUCAGUAGCCAAUUACACCAAUACCAUCCAGCUGGUUACACUUCCAGCCCUCCACCAUGAUAGGUUUUUUGGGUUAGAAUUUGGUUUAGGUGUCAAUGUGCAGGUCAGGGACGAUAGCUCCUUGAUGGGCAGUAGCGGUGUUAGGUGCGGCUCCCUGAUCUGCGACAGUGGCUCGGCUGCUCUGUGCUGAAUAUCAUGCAAGAUGCAAUAGUUAGAAGUUAUACUGAUAUAUGGUGUACUUGCAGCUACUGAUUUAGUACUGUUAACUGUUUGGCAAAGGAGGUAAAGUUCUGCAUGUACGGGUACUAGGCAAAUCAAAAUGAUUAACUUCCUGGAUCUUUUUUCUGCAAUUCCCAUCUCAUUUAGCAAUGUACUUGAAACUGAUUGCAGAGUAUUCUACUUUGCACCAAUUUUUUGGUUCAAACAACACUAAUUGUUACUGAAAAAAGCAGUUUGCAAAUUAGGAUAGUAAUCAUUUACGUGAAAUAUUGAACCAUGUCCCUUGACAAUGUUUGUUUAUUUCUUAAAUAUAUUUUCAGCAUACUAACAUCACUUUCUCAUUAUUUUAGACUAACUCAGAGUUCAUAUUCAGUAUACAAUAAAUUAGAAAAUGAGAUGAACAAUUUGGGCUUGUGACCAGUGUAUGAAUAAUGAUGUAUUGACGACUCGCAACCAGUCUACAUUGUGUUUUGUAAGUCUAGAACUUAAUUUUGUUUGUCCAAUUCACUAAUUAUUGGCUUAUGGAAGUUAAAAAAAAAUCCGACCGAGCAAACUUAAUGUUAGCAUACAUAUAUUGUACAUGUUUCUGGUCUUCUAAAUUACAAAUUCUUUUGUUAAAUCUGCAGGUUACAGAAACUAGAUAUAUAAUCUGCGUACAGAGCUACUAUGGUGCCCCUCGUUUAUAUUUUUACUCCUCUAUUAACCUGAUUUUUUUAUUUUAAUUUACUCACCUCAUUUUGUUGUUGUUGUGGAUUGCAAGAUAAGUUGACGAUUCGCGGCUAAGAUGUUGAUUGCAAGGUCGAGAAAGAGGCUACUACUAGAUAAUUAGAAUGUCAUCUCCAGGGCCAAUGUUUCAAACCUUGUUGUAGAUUGCAAGGUCUAAAAUUGGGCUACUACUAGAUAGUUUUACAUUUUGUAAUCUUUGGAUCACGAUCUUUGUUUUGCAACACAAUCGAUUUAAUAUA
This is a long non-coding RNA of Aegilops tauschii subsp. strangulata, 2323 nucleotides long. RefSeq lists it as uncharacterized. The record is from RefSeq and is a predicted model, not a curated record. Lineage: Eukaryota; Viridiplantae; Streptophyta; Magnoliopsida; Poales; Poaceae.